This 933-nucleotide ribosomal RNA is filed under the name uncultured delta proteobacterium. Its description in RNAcentral is "bacterial SSU rRNA". It matches the Rfam family "Bacterial small subunit ribosomal RNA", at positions 8 to 916 of the family's 1533-position model. The record is from RNAcentral. Lineage: Bacteria; Deltaproteobacteria.
AGAGUUUGAUCCUGGCUCAGAACGAACGCUGGCGGCGUGCCUAACACAUGCAAGUCGAACGGGGAUGGGGAGCUUGCUUCCUAUUCUAGUGGCGCACGGGUGAGUAACGCGUAGAUAAUCUGCCUGACGAUCCGGGAUAACACUUCGAAAGGGGUGCUAAUACCGGAUAAGCCCACGUGGUCUUUGGACCGUGCGGGAAAAGGGGGGGGACCUUCGGGCCUUCUGUCGUCAGAUGAGUCUGCGUACCAUUAGCUAGUUGGUAGGGUAAAGGCCUACCAAGGCUACGAUGGUUAGCUGGUCUGAGAGGAUGAUCAGCCACACUGGAACUGAGACACGGUCCAGACUCCUACGGGAGGCAGCAGUGGGGAAUUUUGCGCAAUGGGCGAAAGCCUGACGCAGCAACGCCGCGUGAGUGAUGAAGGCUUUCGGGUCGUAAAGCUCUGUCGAUGGGAAAGAAGUGUAUUGAGGCUAAUAUCCUUGAUACUUGACGGUACCCAUAAAGGAAGCACCGGCUAACUCCGUGCCAGCAGCCGCGGUAAUACGGGGGGUGCAAGCGUUGUUCGGAAUUAUUGGGCGUAAAGCGCGUGUAGGCGGUUUGAUUAGUCUGAUGUGAAAGCCCUGGGCUCAACCCAGGAAGUGCAUUGGAAACUGUCAGACUUGAAUACGGGAGAGGGUAGUGGAAUUCCUAGUGUAGGAGUGAAAUCCGUAGAUAUUAGGAGGAACACCGGUGGCGAAGGCGGCUACCUGGACCGAUAUUGACGCUGAGACGCGAAAGCGUGGGUAGCAAACAGGAUUAGAUACCCUGGUAGUCCACGCCGUAAACGAUGAGUACUAGGUGUUGCGGGUAUUGACCCCUGCAGUGCCGCAGCUAACGCAUUAAGUACUCCGCCUGGGAAGUACGGUCGCAAGACUAAAACUCAAAGGAAUUGACGG